RNAcentral lists this ribosomal RNA (253 nucleotides) under uncultured bacterium. RNAcentral describes it as "partial 16S ribosomal RNA". It matches the Rfam family "Bacterial small subunit ribosomal RNA", at positions 524 to 776 of the family's 1533-position model. The record is from RNAcentral.
UACAGAGGUGGCAAGCGUUGUUCGGAAUUACUGGGCGUAAAGGGUUCGUAGGUGGCCACUUAAGUCAGACGUGAAAUCCCUCAGCUUAACUGGGGAACUGCGUCUGAUACUGAGUGGCUUGAGUGCAGGAGAGGAAUGCGGAAUUCCAGGUGUAGCGGUGAAAUGCGUAGAUAUCUGGAGGAACACCGGUGGCGAAGGCGGCAUUCUGGACUGUAACUGACACUGAGGAACGAAAGCCAGGGGAGCAAACGGG